ACUACAGAAAAUGACUGAGCGGCGAACGGGUGAGUAACGCGUGAGCAACCUACCUUAGUUACUGGGAUAGCCCGAGGAAACUCGGAUUAAUACCGGAUAUUCUUAUUUAAUCACAUGAUUUUUUAAGGAAAGGUCAGCCGAACUAAGAUGGGCUCGCGUUCUAUCAGCUAGUUGGUAGGGUAAUGGCCUACCAAGGCUACGACGGAUAGCUGGUCUGAGAGGACGAUCAGCCACACUGGGACUGAGACACGGCCCAGACUCCUACGGGAGGCUGCAGCAGGGAAUAUUGCGCAAUGAGCGAAAGCUUGACGCAGCGACACCGCGUGUGGGAUGACGGAUCUAGGUUUGUAAACCACUUUCAGGAGGGAAGAAAAUGACGGUACCUCCACAA
RNAcentral lists this ribosomal RNA (391 nucleotides) under uncultured bacterium. RNAcentral describes it as "bacterial SSU rRNA". It matches the Rfam family "Bacterial small subunit ribosomal RNA", at positions 77 to 486 of the family's 1533-position model. The record is from RNAcentral.